GGCUACAUCAUGUUGAAGCACCUGUUCCCAUACGAUUGCUGAAUUUAAGCAACAUUGAACCUGUUCACUACCUAGAUGGGUGACUGCUUGGUAAUACCAGGUGCUGUAAG
Molecule: non-coding RNA, 110 nt
Organism: Acanthosepion pharaonis
Lineage: Eukaryota; Metazoa; Mollusca; Cephalopoda; Sepiida; Sepiidae
Source: the annotation of a GenBank genome assembly